GAUGAACGCUGGCGGCGUGCUUAACACAUGCAAGUCUUUCGGUAAACUGUGCUUGCACUGCCUGGCCGUGGCGGAGGGGCGAGCAGCGCGUAAGGACCUUGGUCUGCAGUCAGCUAUUACAGACGAACACGACGGAAGAGUGGUGAUAAAGUCAGGCUGUCGCAUGUCCGGCCGGAUGGAAAGUGAUGGUGCACGAGAGCCUUGCGGACUGUUAGCUUGUUGGUGGGGUGACGGCCCACCAAGGCGAUGAUAGGUAGCCGGCCUGAGAGGGUGGACGGCCACAAGGGGACUGAGAUACGGCCGUUACUCCUACGGGAGGCAGCAGUGGGGAAUAUUGGACAAUGGGGGCAACCCUGAUCCAGCAAUUCUGUGUGUACGAUGAAGGUUUUCGGAUUGUAAAGGGCUUUCAGCAGGGAAGAAAAAAAUGACGGUACCUGCAGAAGAAGCGACGGCUAAAUACGUG
This 463-nucleotide ribosomal RNA is filed under the name uncultured bacterium. RNAcentral describes it as "partial 16S ribosomal RNA". It matches the Rfam family "Bacterial small subunit ribosomal RNA", at positions 28 to 507 of the family's 1533-position model. The record is from RNAcentral.